Molecule: long non-coding RNA, 6741 nt
Organism: Marmota monax (woodchuck)
Lineage: Eukaryota; Metazoa; Chordata; Mammalia; Rodentia; Sciuridae
Exons: 2
Source: RefSeq, a predicted model, not a curated record
CGGAGGAUUUUAAGACACCACCCUCGACUUUAGCCAAUGAGAAGCCGGGGGCUAAACUGAGAUCUUAGCCAAUGAGGAGUCCGGAAGAAGUCAGUUUCCGCCCCUUCCUCGCUCCGGUAUUAGCCAAUACGGAACCAGGACUUGCUCUCUUCCGCAGAUCCCACCCAGUAAGGGCUUGGGGGCGGGCCUUGGGCUUCUCGCACGCCCCCUGCUGUGGAGAAGAGUCGCCGCGGGCAGUGUUCGAGCCGAUCCCGAGUCCGCCGGGCGUCGUGGAGUGGCGCUCGCCUCAUCUCCCGCACGCAGAUCCCGAGCUCUGGGCAGGGCGCUGGCGUCCUCUUACUAGACUGCUAAGCCCCUGCCGUGUGCUGGCACGCUUCCGACCCGGCGGGGAAGAUGGGCGAGACUCCGGCUGGCGCGGGGCCCCGAAGCCCAGCGGAGCGGGCCGAAGGGUCGGAGGCCGGACGGCUGGGAGAGGACGUGCCUAGCGACUUGGCCUUUUCGGAGUGAGGCCCGGACCCCGUGAAGGGCUUUCGGCGGGAGCACUAUGGCCGUUUUGUAUUCAAAAGAACUCUCGUGUGGUGUGGGGAGUGUGUCCGAGGGCGAGAGGGGGUUCGGGCCAGCCAGCCGAGAAGCCGCGGGAUCCUGGCGGAGACGCUCAGGCCGGGGGCCAGGGAAGUAGCCCGGGGAGUGGAAAGAAGGGACUAGAUUUGAGGAUGUCAGGAGAAAAAAAUCAAGAAACCCUUUGGGUAUGGGCACCCCCGAUUUUUGAAAUGAUUUCUGAAUUACUCGUCGUUGUGGAUGGAUUUAGGAAGGCAGAACAAGGCCGGGCGAGGUGGUACAGCCUGUAAUCCCAACAACAUUGGGAGACUGAGGCGGGAGGAUCGCAAGUUUCAGACCAUCCUAGAUGACUUAGUGAGACCUUGUCUCCAAAUAGAAAGGGCUGGGGGUGUGUCUCAGGGUAGAGUGUCCCUGGGUUCAAUCCCCCGGUACGCACAAAAAGGGCUGGGGGAGGAAACUGCAAAGUUUGGGCCACCAAAUACAUUCCAAAAGGAAAACAGCAUGACUCCAUGUGCAGUAUGUCAGCCGAGAACCUCAGAUCUUGGAAGCAGGAUCCCCUGUGAGCAAAAUGAGAAUCAGCCAGCAAAGGGUGAUGGGUGAGCCAGAAGAAAACCAUGCAUUUCAACAGAGCUGCCUACUAGGGUGCAGCAGACCUGGCCUGCCUCUGCAGGGGAGACUUGUGCAUUCAGCCACAACAAAAGGGGUUCUGUGUAGUGAAGCCAGGGUUCUCCUCCAGAAUUUUCCUGACCUUGAGAUAAAAUUUUCUUUCAAGCUUCUCAUGUCCUUUUUUUCUCAUUUGGUGCUCUCCAAACAGUCAUAUGAUGACUUUUUUUUUUUUUUCUAGAAAGGAGAAUCUGAAUAACAUGCAUAUUUUACCCCUGCUUGCAGUUGUAAAUUAACAAAUCGGAUUUACACCAGACCCCUGUGAGUCUGGUACAUAUGAGUCAGUCUCAAAGCCUUUGUCACUAUCAAUAGAGCUGACAUAAAAUAUUGGAUGCACAUUGAUGCAAUAUUUGUUGUUUUGCAAAAUACAGCUCCCCUACCUAUGGCUGUGGAAGCAAUUGAGUUUCUCAUCUUGCAAAGCUGAUUCCAAACUACCUGGAACUUUAGUGAGCCUGCUCUUCAAUCUGAUGGUCCUCUAGUUUUUUUCUGUUUAAUCUCCUCUUGGGGAAGCAAGAAUGAUUUUUCUAGGUUGAAAUCUCACUCUGUCCCUGUCGCUAGUGACUCCCCCACAACUUCUCCCUCCCACACCUGGUCAACUUCUCCUCAAUCUUUAAGUUUCUGCUUAGACUUCACCUUGACCCUGAAAGUUAGGUUGGCGCUAUUUUCUGUGUUUCUGGCACCCAAAUGCAUCCCAUCAUGGAACCUGGUCUUGUUUUUUUACUGGCUGUUCUGUUCCACUAAGCAGCAGCUUCCUGAGGGCAGAGACUGUCUGGUUACCCAGUGUCUUCACAGGGUGUGGCACAGAGCAGCUGCUCAGGAAAGGUUUUCUGAAUGAGUGGACGAGGUCUGUGGCUCAUUCCAACCUAAAAUGCAGUCCAGCCCCUGGGUUAGGGGAUGGCCACAGGGGUACUCAAUCAGGGCUCAUCCAGUAGAAUAAUGUCCCCAAAGUCCACAGGAACCAAGGACAGAAUAAAGGAUUGAGGGGAAAACAAGGGCCAACCUCAGCAUCAGACCAAGCUUCUGGAGGACAGAGAAUUGGUCCUGUCUGGGACCCAAGCAGGGAGGUCAGAGAGGCCAAGAAACAUUAGGAACCAGGUUAAAGGAGGCACCAUGCACACAGGCACCAUUUAGUAAAUGCUCCCUACUAUGUGCUGGACCUUGUGCUUGGCUCAGACAAUGCAGCCAAGAGACCACAGACCCUGCCUCCAUCCAUAUUUGAUUAGCAGAGACAGCUACCAAAUAAAAGGUAGCUCAGUAGUAGAGCACUCCCUUAGCAUGUAAGAAGUCCUGGGUUUGAUUCCCAGCACCAUCCCCAAAGGGAAAAAGAAUCCACCUGUCAUAAUACCAAGUAAUGCAGCAUUAAGGAAAACCCAGGCCCAGUACAUUGCUCUGUUUUUCCUACAGGCCUCAGCCCCCUCCUGCAAACCCAGGAGUUCAUACAGUAAGCUCUUAAACAGACUUCUGUGCUGUGGGCUUAGAAGACAAGCACCAAACUAACCUCACAAGGUCAAGAUGAAGUCUAAGCUGAAACCUAAAGAAUGAGGAGCAGUCAGCCAGGUGAGGGAGGGACACUAAAUAGCAGCAGCCUUUGCUUGUUCAGGCUCAGCCCCUCCUUGGCAGCUGGUGCACACUGGUGUGGGAGCGGGUGGGGUGACCUGUUCUGCACCCUCCACCGUAGCCUCAAGCACUAAGGUCAUGCCAGACCCAGCCCUUGGCUGUCCUGUGUCCAACUGAUGUACUGAUCAUAUACUGACCUGGGGGAGGACAGACUGCUGUUCUGCCCUCACAGUGACCCAGGGCAGUGGAAAGGAACUGGUGGCUGAUUGGCAAAGUCGAAUCCCACAGGCAAGAGUGGUGGGAAAGCCAUCUGGUACUUCUGACCACUGUAAUCUCCCCUGUUUGUCUUCUAGCCAGGGCCAUGAAUGCUGAAUGACAUCAGGGGACCCCCUUCUAUGGUGGUACUGGAAUAUGUAUCCUUUUUUUUUUUUUUUAAAGAAAGAGUGAGAGAGGGAGAGAGAGAAAAAAAAUUUUUAAUAUUCAUUUUUUAGUUAUCGGCGGACACAACAUCUUUGUUUGUAUGUGGUGCUGGGGAUCGAAUCCCGGGGCCACAUGCAUGCCAGGCGAGCGCGCUACUGCUUGAGCCACAUCCCCAGCCCCGAAUAUGUAUCCUUUUGAGGGGGGGUUCUGGGAAUGGAAUCCAGGGUCUUGCACAUGCUAGGCUAGUACUCUACCAAUAAGAGACACCCCCACCCCUGGAUCCAUAUUAACCAAGAGGAAAGAGAACUUUUUUCUGUGCUUCUGUAGUAUUGGGGUGUCACUCAGGGGACAAGGCUCUAGCAUGAUAAGGUCCUGAGUUUCAUCCCCAGUGAUGCAAGAAAAUUCCUUUUGGCUUCAGAAUCUGCAUAUUCCUCCUUGAGCUUCUAGGUGAGUCUGUGAAGCACACAGUGGGUGCUUUAUAUUCCCUAGCCCCACUUGACUUGCUGCACCCUGGACUGGAGCAAAGACCUAGGUUUGGUGUUGGCCACCAGAGGGCCACAGAGUGUCCUUGUGGGUAACACAGCCAUCUGGUGGUCACAGGUACUCAUGACACCCUGGGAGAAAAGGCCAAGUGGCUGGCUGGGCAUACUGGGGCCAGAGGCCUAGGUACCUGGCAACUCAUGGAAGGUUUGCCCUGGACGUAGUCAGCAUCCUUCUCUUGAGGAGGUGAGAUCCUGCACACUUACUUACACCCAAGCCAGGGCCAGGAAUUGUCCCACACAGUCCCAUCACUGGGUGACAGGUGACAGGGACCUGGGGAUGAGUCUGUACAGAAGUUUCAGUUUUCUUUUACUUCCAAAUGGGACAGAUUAUUCCAAAGGACAUUCUCCUCCCCCAUCAACUUGUAUUCCAAAGCAAAAUUAAACCAAAUAUACAUAGGACUGAAUUUCGAAAUUUGUUCAUAAAUAGAGAUUAUGUUAAAUAUUUUUUAAAUGUCCCUGAUAGAGGCAAAUUUACAAUGAAACUAAUAAAAUUGAAGGACCAAGGCACAUCAAUUGUAUGUGCCUUUUUCAAAGGCCCUGGGAGGUUCCUGUAAGGAGAUGUUUCUAUGCAGGCUGAAAUAAUAAGUCAUCUUAGCUGCAGUGGUAAACCAGCUGUACCUGUCCCAUCUAGCCAGUGGUCCAUCUGGCUGGUCCUCCAUCUCACUUCCGCCUGUUUUGGGAGAUCCAGGCACUCAGGUGUGGGGGCCUUGGCUAAGGGGAAGCUCACUUAUGAACACGUUUAGUUGAAGUGGAGUGGAAUACAGGGGCGUGGUUUGCAGUCCUGGGGUGAGGUGUCGCUCAGUGGUAGAGGCCCCCUUAGGUUGUGUGAGGCCCUGGGUUAAGCUGUUGCUGGUCAUCAUGUAGCAAUGGCUUCGGGGGAUGCACACUCCUUCACCUUCUGCGACAACUCACUGAUGCUGUGACAUGAAAGGCCAAGGCAGGAUAGUGCUCAGAGCUAUAAUCCGGAUGGUGGGCAAUUGCACCCCCUGGUAGACGUGCACAACUGGAAAGGGUGGAAAACUGUGGCAGCUCCUCAAAUCAGUUAAAAUAAGAUUGCCCCCGGAUACUGAGGCUGGACCCCUGCACACCCACGCCCAUAGUGGCAGCAGUCCCUGCAGCCAGGAGGAGCCGCCCACGUCCCCGUUCCGGAUGGGGGAGUAGGGACCAAGUGUGGUGCAGCCCCGAGGUGGGGUAUUACUCAGCCUGAAGAAGGAAGGAGAUUCUGACACCGGCUGCCACACAGAUGGAACUUGAGGACAGUGCACUCAGUGAAUAAGCAGCCAUGAAGGGGCGAGAGGGCACAGUGCCACUUAAAGAGGCCUGGAAACCAGGAGCCAAAGUAAAAUUGUCUUUUAAGUAGUUUUCACAGGUAUUUUGUCCCUCUUCAAAGCCCCACAUGUUAAAGGCUGGGUCCCCAGCUUGGCCCUGUGGUAAAGGAGUGGGAGCUCUUCAGGGUGGGGGACACAACCUUGAAGGGUAGCGGGACCCCAGCCCUUCCUCUCCUCUUUCAGUCCCUAGCCAUCAGGUGAGCAUUUUGCUCCACCUGGCACUUCUGCCAUGGGGCACUGCCCCUCCCCCCAAAACAACAUGUCCUCUUGACCAUAGGUUGGAGCCUGCGAAACUAUGAGCCAAAGUACACCUGCAUGAGAGGGCCUUGUGUCCGUGGUGGGGCUGACCAGCACGCCUGGCCCAGCAUUAGCAACAGUUUUGGAAGCUGCCAAGUUCUUUACUAGCAGUAACAAAGAACAAAACUUGAUCAGCCACACCAAGAACUCCAUCCUCUCUGGAGAAAUCACAGAGGCGAGCAGAGAAUGCAGCCCAAAAACCUAGCCAAAAACCUAUGUGAACAGAGCUUGCGGUUCCUGGUUCUGCACCACUAUGGACCCAGCUGCUAGAACGCUGCCCUGCAAGUCAUUCCUGCUGCCGUGAGCCAGAUGCCGGGCAUGGAGAAGCUGGGUCACCUGGAGAGCGAGUGCUGACCUGAGGGGAGACUGAGGCCCUGUUUUCCAUGAGCCUGUGCCAUCUUACACUUCCGCUAGCCGCACUUGAGAGUCCAGCUACACUUGGUGUUCAGUCACUUCUCAUUACCUUACCACUGAGUGGCAGUUCUGUUCCUAUGUCUUAAGUUUGCAUUUCUUUCCUCCCUAGAGAUAUUGAGCAGGCAGGUGCAGUGCCCCACACCUGUAAUUCCAGCUGCUCAAGAAGCUCAGGCAGGAGGACUACAAUUUCUGGGCAACUUUGAGACCCUGUCUCAAAGAUUAAAAAGAGUGGGGAUAUGUGGCUUAGUGGUAGCACUGGCCUAGCAUACAUUCAGUACUGGGUUCAAUCCCCCAGUACUGAAAAAAAAAGUUUUAAUUGUGCAAUAGUAUUAUAGUUGCAAAAGAUUUGUUUUGUUAGUGUUUUCACAGUAUAUGAAAUACUUUUAUAUUUUCACAGUAUAUACAUUUUUCAUCUUUCCACUUUAAAUCUUUCCUAUCCUUAUAUUCUUAUAAGCAGCAUGUAAUAUUGUUUUUCCUUCCUGUUUAAUAUUCUUUGUCUUUUAGUUGGAAUAUUUGGUCUUUUUACAUCUACUGUAAUAUUGAUGGAUUUGGAUUUAAAUCGUUCAUAUUACUAUUUGUUUUCCUAUCUAUCCUCUGUCCUUUUCCUUCCUGUUUCUUACCUCCUUUUAUACUAAUCAUAUUUUAUUGCUUUAUUUUACCUCUAACAAAAAGUUGCAUCAACUUUUACUGGUCACCCUAGAGAUUAUAAUAUGAAUCCUUGGUCUAAUACUGUAGAGUCAAAUACUGUACAAACUAGUACUUUGCCACUUCCAUGAUGUUGUAAAGACACAUUUAGAUGCCUCCUGCCUUUGGAGCUAUUGUUAUCAUGUCAUGUAUGUAUUAGUGUGUAAAUAUUUUUGAAUCAACUUUAUUGAGGUAUAAUUUACAUGCAACACAACAGGCACAGUUUAAGUGUAUAGUUUGAUCAGUUUACAAAUAUAUCAAUGAAGUUACCAUGUCAA